RNAcentral lists this long non-coding RNA (273 nucleotides) under Olea europaea subsp. europaea. The record is from RNAcentral. Lineage: Eukaryota; Viridiplantae; Streptophyta; Magnoliopsida; Lamiales; Oleaceae.
GCUACGCUCCUCUGCACAAUGUAAUCCCAGAAAAUUUGCCCAAAUUAAGAAGUUUCAUAACAACAGGCUUCAAAUGACCAAAUGAACUAAAAUCUAAUUUACUUACCAACUUCACGCAUCUCAACUGUACAUACAAAAUUGGAACAACAUUAUUUGUCUUGUUCACAAUCAAGAAAAUGAACUUCUUUUUCGUGAAAAUGAGCUCGAUUAAGUAAAAACGUAGAGAAUCUUACAGUUUCUUCUUUGUAGAAAAGCAAAGAUAAUAAUGUCAAA